GAAUUGAAAGCAGGACUUGGAGUAUAUAUUCGGAACAACACAAAGAAUAUUAGCAUGGCUCUGGUGUAAGGAUGACAGGCAAAUUCAUGAAGCAAUUAAAAUUUUA
Lepus europaeus (European hare) is the source of this 106-nucleotide small nuclear RNA. NCBI's taxonomy places the organism in Eukaryota, Metazoa, Chordata, Mammalia, Lagomorpha, Leporidae. The record is from RefSeq and is a predicted model, not a curated record.